CAAUAGCGUAUAUUAAAGUUGUUGCGGUUAAAAAGCUCGUAGUUGGAUUUCUGCCGAGGACGUCCGGUCCGCCCUCUGGGUGUGUACAUGGUACGGCCUGGGCAUCUUCUUGGAAAGCGUAUCUGCACUUGACUGUGUGGUGCGGUAUCCAGGACUUUUACUUUGAGGAAAUUAGAGUGUUUCAAGCAGGCCUACGCCUCGAAUACAUUAGCAUGGAAUAAUAAGAUAGGACCUCGGUUCUAUUUUGUUGGUUUCUAGAGCUGAGGUAAUGAUUAAUAGGGAUAGUUGGGGGCAUUCGUAUUUAACUGUCGGAGGUGAAAUUCUUGGAUUUGUUAAAGACGGACUACUGCGAAAGCAUUUGCCAAGGAUGUUUNCAUUGA
Molecule: ribosomal RNA, 380 nt
Filed under: uncultured eukaryote
Lineage: Eukaryota
Description: partial 18S ribosomal RNA
Rfam family: Eukaryotic small subunit ribosomal RNA
Source: RNAcentral